This 249-nucleotide ribosomal RNA is filed under the name uncultured bacterium. RNAcentral describes it as "partial 16S ribosomal RNA". It matches the Rfam family "Bacterial small subunit ribosomal RNA", at positions 524 to 776 of the family's 1533-position model. The record is from RNAcentral.
UACGUAGGGCGCAAGCGUUAUCCGGAAUUAUUGGGCGUAAAGAGCUCGUAGGCGGUUUGUCGCGUCUGCCGUGAAAGUCCGGGCUCAACUCCGGAUCUGCGGUGGGUACGGCAGACUAGAGUGAUGUAGGGAGACUGGAAUCCUGGUGUAGCGGUGAAAUGCGCAGAUAUCAGGAGGAACACCGAUGGCGAAGGCAGGUCUCUGGGCAUUAACUGACGCUGAGGAGCGAAAGCAUGGGGAGCGAACAGG